AGUGACCUCCACUUCUCGGGAGUGGCCAGGAGGUACCAGGUUGCCCAUCACGGCAGCACCUUCUCGUUUGCUCCCCUGGCCCUGGCAGCCCUCGCCUUGGCAGAGAGGAGGACAGAAGUGGGUCCUUGCCAGGCCGUCUGGGAGGUCCCCGCAGGAAGGGGUUCCUGCCUAGAUAGCAGCAGAGUGUCCGCCCAGGGAUCAGAUCAAACACGGGUUUGUCCAGCCUCUGGAGCUCCAUUCUGCUCACCCCCUCUCACUUCCUGGCAUCCGUGUCCCCUGUCUGCAACUGUGUCUGAUGGCGAGUUGACGGGCGCCGACCUGAAGGACUGCGUCAGCAACAACAGCCUGAGCAGCAAUGCCAGCCUCCCCAGCGUGCAGAGCUGCCGGCGCCUGCGUGAGAGGAGGGUCGCCAGCUGGGCCGUGUCCUUUGAGCGCCUGCUGCAGGACCCCGUCGGUGUCCGCUACUUCUCUGAUUUUCUAAGGAAAGAAUUCAGUGAAGAAAACAUUUUAUUCUGGCAGGCCUGUGAAUAUUUUAAUCAUGUUCCUGCACAUGACAAAAAGGAGCUUUCCUACAGGGCCCGGGAGAUUUUCAGUAAGUUUCUCUGCAGCAAAGCCACCACCCCGGUCAACAUCGACAGCCAGGCCCAGCUAGCAGACGAUGUGCUCCGCGCACCUCACCCAGAUAUGUUCAAGGAGCAGCAGCUCCAGAUCUUCAAUCUCAUGAAGUUUGAUAGCUACACUCGCUUUCUGAAGUCCCCGCUGUACCAGGAAUGCAUCCUGGCGGAAGUGGAGGGCCGCGCACUGCCGGACUCGCAGCAGGUCCCCAGCAGCCCGGCUUCCAAGCACAGCCUCGGUUCAGACCACUCCAGUGUGUCCACGCCAAAAAAGUUAAGUGGAAAAUCAAAAUCCGGCCGAUCCCUGAAUGAAGAGCUGGGGGAUGAGGAGAGCGAGAAGAAGCGGAAAGGCGCGUUUUUCUCGUGGUCACGGACCAGGAGCACCGGGAGGUCCCAGAAGAAGAGGGAGCACGGGGACCACGCAGACGACGCCCUGCAUGCCAAUGGAGGCCUGUGUCGCCGAGAGUCACAGGGCUCUGUGUCCUCUGCGGGGAGCCUGGACCUGUCGGAGGCCUGCAGGACUUUGGCACCCGAGAAGGACAAGGCCACCAAGCACUGCUGCAUUCAUCUCCCGGAUGGGACAUCCUGCGUGGUGGCUGUCAAGGCGGGCUUCUCCAUCAAAGACAUCCUGUCCGGACUCUGUGAGCGGCAUGGCAUCAACGGGGCGGCCGCGGACCUCUUCCUGGUGGGCGGGGACAAGCCUCUGGUGCUGCACCAAGACAGUAGCAUCUUGGAGUCAAGGGACCUGCGCCUAGAAAAGCGCACCUUGUUUCGGCUGGAUCUUGUUCCGAUUAACCGGUCAGUGGGACUCAAGGCCAAGCCCACCAAGCCCGUCACGGAGGUGCUGCGGCCCGUGGUGGCCAAAUACGGCCUGGACCUCAGUGGCCUGCUGGUGAGGCUGAGUGGAGAGAAGGAGCCCCUGGACCUUGGCGCCCCUAUAUCGAGUCUGGACGGACAGCGGGUUGUCUUGGAGGAGAAGGAUCCUUCCAGAGGAAAGGCAUCCGCAGAUAAACAGAAAGGUGUGCCAGUGAAACAGAACACAGCUGUAAAUUCCAGCUCCAGAAACCACUCGGCUACGGUAAUUCCCCACCCUGGCCCACCCUGUGCCCUGCUCCUCUCGCUGUGGCCCCCGCCUGCCCUGUGCAGUGCCCUGGUGCUUCCUUACCGCCUGCUUAUCACUGUGUGUCUCCCCCACGCUCCUUGGCGGGGUCUCUCUUGUCCCUGCCGAUGCCCAGCUCCCUCUUACCUGUGAAGGACUGGCUUUCUUUUCUUCUGAGGUGGGAGUGGUUGUGCCUUAAAUGCUAUUCUUGUUUGUAAUCCUUAUCAUUGCAAUGGUUUUUCUGCAAUGCAUGUAAAUUCUGUAUCAAUGCAAUCUAUUUCAUAGAGCCUUCUACUCUCUAACUAAUGAAUGAUGUAUUGUCGUGUAUUGAAAUGAAAGUAGAACUUUGACUUUCCUUCUAAUGCAGGGAGAGGAAAGAACACUAGGCAAGUCUAAUUCUAUUAAAAU
Molecule: small RNA, 2121 nt
Filed under: Pan troglodytes (chimpanzee)
Lineage: Eukaryota; Metazoa; Chordata; Mammalia; Primates; Hominidae
Description: processed transcript
Source: RNAcentral